AUACAGGGGGUGCGAGCGUUAAUCGGAAUUACUGGGCGUAAAGAGUACGUAGGCGGUUGCUUAAGUCAGAUGUGAAAGCCCCGGGCUCAACCUGGGAACUGCAUUUGAAACUGAGUGACUAGAGUUUAAGAGAGGGGAGUAGAAUUCCGGGUGUAGCGGUGAAAUGCGUAGAGAUCCGGAGGAAUACCAGUGGCGAAGGCGGCUCCCUGGCUUAAAACUGGCGCUGAGGUACGAAAGCGUGGGUAGCAAACAGAAUUAGAUACCCCAGUAGUCC
Molecule: ribosomal RNA, 274 nt
Filed under: uncultured bacterium
Lineage: Bacteria
Description: partial 16S ribosomal RNA
Rfam family: Bacterial small subunit ribosomal RNA
Source: RNAcentral